UACGUAGGGUGCAAGCGUUAUCCGGAAUUAUUGGGCGUAAAGAGCUCGUAGGCGGUUUGUCACGUCUGCUGUGAAAACUGGAGGCUCAACCUCCAGCCUGCAGUGGGUACGGGCAGACUAGAGUGCGGUAGGGGAGAUUGGAAUUCCUGGUGUAGUGGUGAAAUGCGUAGAGAUCGGGAGGAACACCCGUAGCGAAGGCGGCCACCUGGGCCGACCCUGACGCUGAGGCGCGAAGGCCAGGGGAGCGAACGGG
Molecule: ribosomal RNA, 253 nt
Filed under: uncultured bacterium
Lineage: Bacteria
Description: partial 16S ribosomal RNA
Rfam family: Bacterial small subunit ribosomal RNA
Source: RNAcentral